Molecule: non-coding RNA, 141 nt
Filed under: Paenibacillus sp.
Lineage: Bacteria; Bacillati; Bacillota; Bacilli; Caryophanales; Paenibacillaceae
Also listed under: 1 other name
Description: SAM-I sequence
Rfam family: SAM riboswitch aptamer (S box leader)
About the family: The SAM riboswitch is found upstream of a number of genes which code for proteins involved in methionine or cysteine biosynthesis in Gram-positive bacteria. The SAM riboswitch acts at the level of transcription termination control. The predicted structure consists of a complex stem-loop region followed by a single stem loop terminator region.
Source: RNAcentral
UUCUUAUCAAGAGCAGGUGGAGGGACUAGCCCGAUGACACCCGGCAACCGACAAACCGUUGGCAUAUCGCGUAAGCGUAUGACAGUGGAAUGCACGGUGCUAAUUCUUGCGGAAGCGAACAUAGCUUCUGAGAGAUGAGAG